AUGCACAGUGAACACCCAUGUCUGCUUCUUUUGUAUCUCCCCUGGAUUUUACUCCGUGCUACAGUAAAAUGUGUGGUCUGUAACUCUAUAUUGGAGGAGUUGCAUUCUCCUCCACAUGUAUUCAACAGACUAGUACAUUU
This 140-nucleotide small nucleolar RNA is filed under the name Hucho hucho (huchen). RNAcentral's name for it is "Small nucleolar RNA SNORA22 (ENSHHUG00000039803.1)". The record is from RNAcentral. Lineage: Eukaryota; Metazoa; Chordata; Actinopteri; Salmoniformes; Salmonidae.